RNAcentral lists this ribosomal RNA (111 nucleotides) under Caerostris darwini. Lineage: Eukaryota; Metazoa; Arthropoda; Arachnida; Araneae; Araneidae. The record is from RNAcentral.
ACAGCCAUACCAUGUUGAAUAUACAGGUUCUCGUUCGAUCACCGAAGUCAAGCAUCAUCGGGCGUGGUCAAUACUUGGGAGGGUGACCACCUGGGAACACUGUGUGCCGUU